CUUCGGGCAAUAUACAAGGUGCUGCAUGGUUGUCGUCAGCUCGUGCCGUGAGGUGUCGGGUUAAGUCCCAUAACGAGCGCAACCCUAUCAUUAGUGCCAUCAGGUCAAGCUGGGGACUCGUAAUGAAACUGCCUACGCAAGUAGUGAGGAAGGUGGGGAUGGACGUCAAAUCAGCACGGCCCUUACGUCCAGGGCUACACACGUGCUACAAUGGCCGGUACAAAGGGCAGCUACCUGGUGACAGGAUGCUAAUCUCAAAAGACCGGUCUCAGUUCGGAUCGGAGUCUGCAACCCGACUCCGUGAAGCUGGAAUCGCUAGUAGUCGCGCAUCAGCCAUGGCGCGGUGAAUACGUUCCCGGGCCUU
RNAcentral lists this ribosomal RNA (364 nucleotides) under uncultured Sphingobacteriales bacterium. RNAcentral describes it as "bacterial SSU rRNA". It matches the Rfam family "Bacterial small subunit ribosomal RNA", at positions 1020 to 1382 of the family's 1533-position model. The record is from RNAcentral. Lineage: Bacteria; Pseudomonadati; Bacteroidota; Sphingobacteriia; Sphingobacteriales.